This 73-nucleotide transfer RNA is filed under the name Enyalioides touzeti. RNAcentral describes it as "tRNA-Asn". Lineage: Eukaryota; Metazoa; Chordata; Lepidosauria; Squamata; Hoplocercidae. The record is from RNAcentral.
CAGAUGGAAGCCCGCUGGGUUGGGUGUUUAGUUGUUAACUAAUUUAUUUGUGGGGUCGAGGCCCACCCAUCUG